This 278-nucleotide ribosomal RNA is filed under the name uncultured bacterium. RNAcentral describes it as "partial 16S ribosomal RNA". It matches the Rfam family "Archaeal small subunit ribosomal RNA", at positions 456 to 735 of the family's 1478-position model. The record is from RNAcentral.
UGCCAGCAGCCGCGGUAAAACCAGCACCUCAAGUGGUCAGGAGGAUUAUUGGGCCUAAAGCAUCCGUAGCCUGUUCUAUAAGUUUGCGGUUAAAUCUAUACGCUCAACGUAUAGGCUGCCGUAAAUACUGUAGAACUAGGGAGUGGGAGAGGUAGACGGUACUCGAUAGGAAGGGGUAAAAUCCUUUGAUCUAUUGAUGACCACCUGUGGCGAAGGCGGUCUACCAGAACACGUUCGACGGUGAGGGAUGAAAGCUGGGGAGCAAACCGGAUUAGAUA